Long non-coding RNA from Acanthochromis polyacanthus (spiny chromis), 493 nucleotides. RefSeq lists it as uncharacterized. Lineage: Eukaryota; Metazoa; Chordata; Actinopteri; Pomacentridae. The transcript is spliced from 4 exons. The record is from RefSeq and is a predicted model, not a curated record.
UCUGCAGAGGAACAACGGCUCUGUGACAAAGGUUCCCUGACGCUGCCCAAGGGAGCCCAAAUGUCGAUUCAGGGAAGGAAUGGAGGAAAGCUAUGAGACAUUUGAAGAGGAGUUAUGGCCACCGAGAGCAGAACCUCCUCCACAGAAGCCUGUUCGACAGAUCCGCAGACCAGACAUGUAUCCUACCAGGAAAAUCAGAGAGGAAGCAGCUGCAGCUCCACAGCAACCGAGAGCAGAACCAAAGAUUUUACCCAGAGAACCCAGCAUCCCUAGAGCAGGCGAGUCAUUCCUCCUUAACCAUUAUCAGAUCUGAGUACAACACACACACGUCCUCAUCGCUGUUUUUGUUUAAUCUUUCCUUUAGUCUCUUUGCACAAAACCUUGUCAAUCCAGAAUUUGACCGACAUCGAGAAACCGUGGGAGAAUGUGACUCUAAACCGCUGUCUGUUUGUGGCCAUCACCAUCCUGGUGCUCACCUCAGGCCUUCAGAGAC